AACAACAUGAUAAUCUUUGCAACCAAAACAAAUGGGUGAUAAUCUUUGAACCAGAACCAAAGGGUAACUUGCAACAAGUGCAGAACCAAAUGUAGAUAGAGCGGCAUAAAAUGAUAGGAGAGAGGUGAAGAGAACCAAUAAUAUUAGGGAUGAGUGGUAGAUGUUAUAGGAGAGAGGUGAAGAGAACCAAUAAUAGAUAGAGUGGAUAGAAGGGCCAGUAAAGACAGAUGUGAUAGAAGUAGAGGGAGAUGGAGAGGAGCUGGAGGGCAGCUGCACACCUGUAACACAAA
Long non-coding RNA from Sander lucioperca (pikeperch), 290 nucleotides. RefSeq lists it as uncharacterized. The transcript has 4 exons. Lineage: Eukaryota; Metazoa; Chordata; Actinopteri; Perciformes; Percidae. The record is from RefSeq and is a predicted model, not a curated record.